GAAAUGCGAUACUUGGUGUGAAUUGCAGAAUCCCGUGAACCAUCGAGUCUUUGAACGCAAGUUGCGCCCGAAGCCACUAGGCUGAGGGCACGUCUGCCUGGGUGUCACGUAUCGUGUUGCCACCGACCACUCACUCCUAGAGGAGAUGUGCUGGUUUGUGGGCGUAAAUUGGCCUCCCGUGCCUUGUCGUGCGGCUGGCACAAAAGCGAGUUUUCGACAAUGGUCGUCGCGACAUCGGUGGUUGUAAAAAGACCUUAUCUUGUCGUGCGAAUCCCUGUCACCUUAGAGAGCUCCAGGAUCCUUAGGCGCCACACAUUUUGUGCGCUUUGAAUGUGACCCCAGGUCAGGCGGGACUACCUGCUGAGUUUAA
RNAcentral lists this unclassified non-coding RNA (370 nucleotides) under uncultured fungus. RNAcentral describes it as "sequence contains ITS1". The stretch from base 1 to 107 matches the Rfam family "5.8S ribosomal RNA", at positions 50 to 154 of the family's 154-position model. The record is from RNAcentral. Lineage: Eukaryota; Fungi.